Long non-coding RNA from Gadus macrocephalus (Pacific cod), 452 nucleotides. RefSeq lists it as uncharacterized. The transcript is spliced from 2 exons. NCBI's taxonomy places the organism in Eukaryota, Metazoa, Chordata, Actinopteri, Gadiformes, Gadidae. The record is from RefSeq and is a predicted model, not a curated record.
AGAGCAGGUAAGGUCUGAGCUGCUUAAUGGGGAUACAGCUUCAGUUAAAAGGGGAUUUAAUGAGCCAGGCCUAAUGAGCUCCCUCUUAUAUCCAUUCCUUGUAUUCGAUUUUAAAGGCUUUCGAAGGGCUUGUGUAAUAACCCACACUACCCCAUUUUCCACCUCAAUAUAAAAUAGAGCAGGGCUUUCCUUUCCAUGUGUUCUCACGGUAUCCUCCCAGCCUCACUGGUGGGUAUGUGAAGCCCUGUGAGUCCGUAUGAAAACUACAGGGCUCACAGGGCCUGUGAAGCUCUGGGAGCUUGUAGUUUUCAUAAAGGGCUAUACAAACAAACCUAAUAACCUUGCAUAAUAAAGAAAGAUCUACCAUCUAAACAACAUCUAGUCACGUAGUCCAACUAAUUCUCCCAACCACCAACUACAAAGCAGGUAAGGAAGGAGAGGGAGGUUGCAAA